RNAcentral lists this ribosomal RNA (460 nucleotides) under uncultured bacterium. Its description in RNAcentral is "partial 16S ribosomal RNA". It matches the Rfam family "Bacterial small subunit ribosomal RNA", at positions 338 to 795 of the family's 1533-position model. The record is from RNAcentral.
CCUACGGGUGGCAGCAGUGAGGAAUAUUGGUCAAUGGGCGAGAGCCUGAACCAGCCAAGUCGCGUGAAGGAUGACGGCCCUACGGGUUGUAAACUUCUUUUGUCAGGGAGCAACUGGGUCCACGCGUGGGCUUAGCGAGAGCACCUGUAGAAAAAGCACCGGCAAACUCCGUGCCAGCAGCCGCGUUAAUACGGAGGAUGCGCGCGUGAUCUGGAUUUAUUGGGUUUAAAGGGUGCGUAGGCGGAAUAUCAAGUCAGCGGUAAAAUUUCGGGGCUCAACCCAGUCGUGCCGUUGAAACUGCUGUUCUUGAGUGGGCGAGAAGUAUGCGGAAUGCGUGGUGUAGCGGUGAAAUGCAUAGAUAUCACGCAGAACUCCGAUUGCGAAGGCAGCAUACCGGCGCCCAACUGACGCUGAGGCACGAAAGCGUGGGUAUCGAACAGGAUUAGAUACCCUUGUAGUC